This 305-nucleotide ribosomal RNA is filed under the name uncultured bacterium. RNAcentral's name for it is "bacterial SSU rRNA". It matches the Rfam family "Bacterial small subunit ribosomal RNA", at positions 336 to 658 of the family's 1533-position model. The record is from RNAcentral.
UUCCUACGGGAGGCAGCAGUGGGGAAUAUUGGACAAUGGGGGGAACCCUGAUCCAGCGACGCCGCGUGAGUGAAGAAGUAUUUCGGUAUGUAAAGCUCUAUCCGCAGGGAAGAAAAUGACGGUACCUGACUAAGAAGCCCCGGCUAACUACGUGCCAGCAGCCGCGGUAAUACGUAGGGGGCGAGCGUUAUCCGGAUUUACUGGGUGUAAAGGGAGCGUAGACGGCAUGGCAAGUCUGGAGUGAAAGCCCGGGGCCCAACCCCGGGACUGCUCUGGAAACUGCCAUGCUAGAGUGCUGGAGAGGG